GGGCGAGUAGCUUAGCACGGUUGGAGCACCCGGCUGAUAACCGGGAGGUCGCCAGUUCGAAUCUGGCCUCGCCCA
RNAcentral lists this transfer RNA (75 nucleotides) under Thermoplasmatota archaeon. RNAcentral's name for it is "Candidatus Thermoplasmatota archaeon tRNA-Ile". It matches the Rfam family "tRNA". Rfam says of the family: Transfer RNA (tRNA) molecules are approximately 80 nucleotides in length. Lineage: Archaea; Methanobacteriati; Thermoplasmatota. The record is from RNAcentral.